Molecule: long non-coding RNA, 724 nt
Organism: Salvia miltiorrhiza (redroot sage)
Lineage: Eukaryota; Viridiplantae; Streptophyta; Magnoliopsida; Lamiales; Lamiaceae
Exons: 3
Source: RefSeq, a predicted model, not a curated record
UACACUACAAAAAAACGCUCAUUUUAGCUACGGAAUUAGCUACGGAUUUAUUUCCGUAGCUAUUCUGUGACGGAAUCGCUACGGAUUCGUGACGGAUAUAUUUUGUUAAAUUUUCCAACGGAUUUGACAACGGAUUUCCGUAGCAAUUCUUUCGCUACGGAUAUAAUCCGUCACUAAAGUUUUAAAAAAUAGUAAUUUUAUUAAAAAUUCUUAGCUACGGAUUAACCGUAGCUAAAGCCAUAGCUAAACUGAAAUUUUAUCCUUAGCUACGGAUUCUAUCCGUAGCAAAAUCAGCGUGACUUAUUAGCUACGGAAUUUCCGUAGCUAAAUCCACAUAUUUUCAAAUCUAACGUCAAGCUUUUUCGCCCAAUUAAAACCUAGUUUUUUCUCACUAUUCCAGCCGCGACUGGUCUUCCAUUUCUCCCACCGGCGUCGCCACCGUCCUUGCUCGGACGCUCACCGUCGCAGCCGCCGUCGAUUGGGAUUGCACUGCCCUCGCCCAGCCCUACCCCGUCUCGCGACUCCAUAGCUGCAACAAUUGAUAGGCGAUUACUUGGAUGUGGCAAUCACCCUGACUCAGUGAUCCUUGCUGCUGUUGUGUUGCUGAACUUUAUUGUGAGCAUAACCGACCACAUUUCUGUUUUGGUAGAAUCAUAUUUAGCUCAUGUUUGUAAUAUGACCCUUGAGAGGAGCUCCACGAAUGAUGUGAAUUCUACUUGGAAAU